Molecule: RNA transcript, 2622 nt
Organism: Salvia miltiorrhiza (redroot sage)
Lineage: Eukaryota; Viridiplantae; Streptophyta; Magnoliopsida; Lamiales; Lamiaceae
Exons: 6
Source: RefSeq, a predicted model, not a curated record
CUCAAUCGGAAGAAGUGCAGCUCCCGCCCCCUUUGCCGUCCAUUUCUGAAAUAAGCUCCUGGCCCCUUUGCCGUCGAUCUCCCCGCCGCGCGCUUCGAUCUCCGCCGUCUAUCUCUGCAUCUUCUCCCCAUCGUCGCCUUCAGUUGCUAUUGCCAUUGCUGGAACAAUGAUCUGAAGACCGAUAAUCGUGAACUACUACUCUACUUGUUUUUUUGGUAAAUUUUACCUCGGUUUUUGGAUAAAUUACCAAAUCUCGUUGAAGCUACCAAAGGCAAGGAUACUCUCGUUUUCCACUGCGCUCUCAGCCAGGUGUUUAUUUAUUCCUCCUUUUUGUGUGUUCGGAUUAUUUAAAAAUGUGAACAUAUUAUGUGUUGUUCUCAGCCAGGCAAAGAACAAUUGACAUGUUAUCAAGGUUUUUAUGUCAAUGGAUUUAAAUUUCAGACAGUGGAAUACGGGUCGAGAAACAAAACUGACAACAGUGGAAUUUGUGUAAAGGGGUCGGUGUUAGGUGGAGUUCAACAAGAUUAUUAUGGGCGUUUGUUGGAGGUUGUGAUUUUGGAGUAUCCUGUGCUACCAACCAAAAAAACCACUUUGUUCAAGUGUCAAUGGUUUGACCCUUCUCCAACUUGGACGUUUGUGGAUCGAGAAUUCAAGUUGGUUUCCAUCAACCAAACUCAUUUAUACAAUAAAUAUGAACCAUUUGUCCUAGCAUCACAAGCUAUUCAAGUUUAUUACUGCACAUACCCAAGUAAAAAUGUGACUAGGCGAAACUGGUUGGCAGCUUGCAAAGUGAAGGCAAGAUCGCUUGUAGAAGUUUCGAGCAAUGAAACUUCUUUGCCUUUCCAAGAGGAGUUGUUUACCCAAGUUCAUCAUACAAUAAUAGAUGAUGAUCCAAUUCCCGUUCAUCCUGAUGGUGGCUUGGUAGACAUGGUAGAGGAUGAGGAUGGAGAUGAAGAUGCAAUUCAUGAAAGCAUUCUGAAAACAUCAUCCUCUGAAGCCGAUGAUUUAGAUGAUAUAGAAUAGUUAUUAUUUUGUCAGUUCUUGUCAACAUUUACUUGUCUGUUUCAUUUUCAAGGUACAAUGCAUGUUAUUUGUCUGUUUCAUUUACUUGUCUGUUUCAAGGGAUGAAGAUGAUAUAUGAUUUAGAUGAUUUUGAUGUUACUUGUCUGUUUCAUUUACUUGUCUGUUUCAAGGGAUGAAGAUGAUAUAUGAUUUAGAUGAUUUUGAUGUUACUUGUCUGUUUCAUUUACUAAGCAAUCAUUUUCUCUCUAUUUUUUUAUGAUCAUAAUAAUUAUUAAUUAUUAUAUCGCUAUCAUAUAUCACUAUCAUAUACCAUUUUUAGAUAGAAGAUGAGUAGUACUGCUUCGCAUCCCACCGACUCAGACUCGACUGAGUCUCGUGCUACUGAGACCCGUGCUACUGAGACACACGUUUCUAAGACGCAGGCGUCGGCAGUCCGUCCAGAAUUAGCACCUGACGGUAGGCGGAUCUGUUGGUUGGAAAAUGGCAUUUUGAGGCCGACUGAGAAGAUUCGACGUACAACUACUUCAAGCUUUCAAGGCUUCAUAGAUCCUGAAGGCGUCAAUUGGAAGAGUUUGUCGCCCAGCACCAUAGACAUAUAUUAUGAUGAGUUUAAGAAAUCUUUUACAUGGGAUGGGGAAGUUUACAGCUCGGACGUCAUUCGUAAGACAUGGAUCUCACAAGCUAGGCAUGCUUAUAAAGAUUUUGUCCAUGGAUGUAAGGUUAUUAUCGAUGAAGGGAGCAUACCUCAAUUUCUUCAUAAAGACAUUGUUACAAAGUGGAAGGAAUAUUGGGCGACACCUGAAUUCCAAGUUAAGUCGCAGCAGGCGAGCAAGAAUCGUCGAUCUGAGCCUGCUGGUCCAGGUACAUGAUUAUCUAUCCACUAUGGAGGCUCUCACAGUGCUAUUAGUCAUGCUGAGCAUGUGGCUCGAGAGAAGAACAUUUCUAUCGCAGAUGCACAUUAUGAUACUUUCAUGAGGAUGCACUUUAAGAAAGGACAGUUCGAUGGACGAGCACAGACUCAGGGUCUUGAGAUACAUAGUCGAGUCGAGGAGUUACGCUCUACUCUUGGACGAGAUGUCACUCCAGAUGAGGUCAGUCAGAUCUAUAGGGAGGUGGUGACGCCAGAUCCGAAGGGGCGUAGACUCGGAUUGGGCAUUAUGUCUCAGAUGCGUUCCACUGGUUCGACGAGCACUCAUUCGACGUGCUCGUCUCAAUUUCCUUCAGCAGCAGUCUCAGCUCAGAUUGCACAGCUCCAGACAGAGUUAGAGCAGACACAACAUAGAGAGGCUACUCUACAAGCUACUCUACAGGCUGAGGUGCAGGAGCGACGACGAAAAGAAGCAGAAAUGGAGGCUGAGGUGCAGGAGCGACGACGAAAAGAAGCAGAAAUGAAGACUAGGCAGUUGGAAAUGCAACAACAAAUUUCUCAGCUUAUGAAAUUCUUCCAAUCAUCCUCAGGGUCGUUCCCCCGUUCCUCGUCUCCACCCUAAAUACAUGUUUUGUACUUAUUAUAUAUCGUUAUUAGAUUUUUAUUUAGAUGUUUAUGAAUUUAUUACACUAACAGGUAUCCUUUAUGAUAUUUUAUUAGUUUGAUUUUGA